Molecule: transfer RNA, 73 nt
Filed under: Chryseobacterium ureilyticum
Lineage: Bacteria; Pseudomonadati; Bacteroidota; Flavobacteriia; Flavobacteriales; Weeksellaceae
Description: tRNA_Leu_TAG
Rfam family: tRNA
About the family: Transfer RNA (tRNA) molecules are approximately 80 nucleotides in length. Their secondary structure includes four short double-helical elements and three loops (D, anti-codon, and T loops).
Source: RNAcentral
GCGGGAAUGGUGGAAUGGUAGACACACUUGAUUUAGGAUCAAGGCGUUGAGGGUUCGAAUCCCUCUUCCCGUA